GGGUCGGUGCCCGAGUGGUUAAUGGGGGCGGACUGUAAAUCCGCUGGCGUAGCCUACGUUGGUUCAAAUCCAACCCGGCCCA
Molecule: transfer RNA, 82 nt
Filed under: Eucheuma denticulatum
Lineage: Eukaryota; Rhodophyta; Florideophyceae; Gigartinales; Solieriaceae
Description: tRNA-Tyr
Rfam family: tRNA
About the family: Transfer RNA (tRNA) molecules are approximately 80 nucleotides in length.
Source: RNAcentral